This 519-nucleotide ribosomal RNA is filed under the name uncultured eukaryote. RNAcentral's name for it is "bacterial SSU rRNA". It matches the Rfam family "Eukaryotic small subunit ribosomal RNA", at positions 1161 to 1695 of the family's 1831-position model. The record is from RNAcentral.
AGGGCACCCCCCGGAGUGGAGCCCGCGGCUUAAUUUGACUCAACACGGGAAAACUCACCCGGCCCGGACACUGGAAGGAUUGACAGAUUGAGAGCUCUUUCUUGAUUCAGUGGGUGGAGGUGCAUGGCCGUUCUUAGUUGGUGGAGUGAUUUUUAUGGUUAAUUCCGAUAACGAACGAGAAUCUAGCCUAUUAAAUAGAUCGUUGGCUCACAAACGCCGGCGAGAAUACUUAGAGGGACAGGGGGCGAUCCUCCCGCUCGAAAAUAAGAAAUAAAAGGCCGGGGAGGCCCUUAAAUGCCCGGGGCCGCACGCGCGUUCGCUUGAAGUGAUCGCGGGGCAUUUUGAAACCUAUCUUGUCAAGAGGGGGGAACCAAAUGAACCUUCUUCGUGAUGGGGAAAGGGGAUGGUAAUUAUCCCCCUUUUGAACGAGGAAUUCCCAGUAAGCGAGAAUCAUAAUUUUUGCGCUGAUCACCUCCCUGCCCUGUGCACACGCCGCCCGUCUCUACUACCGAUAGAAUG